Molecule: ribosomal RNA, 347 nt
Filed under: Acidobacteria bacterium enrichment culture clone C36_08_H09
Lineage: Bacteria; Pseudomonadati; Acidobacteriota
Description: bacterial SSU rRNA
Rfam family: Bacterial small subunit ribosomal RNA
Source: RNAcentral
GAUCCUGGCUCAGAAUCAACGCUGGCGGCGUGCCUCAGACAUGCAAGUCGAACGAUUAAACUUUCCUUCGGGAAAGAUAUAAAGUGGCGCACGGGUGAGUAACACGUAAGUAAUCUACCUUCGAGUGGGGAAUAACGUUCGGAAACGAACGCUAAUACCGCAUAAUGCAGCGGCAUCGCAAGAUGACAGUUGUUAAAGGAAUUUAUUUCGCUUGAAGAGGAGCUUGCGGCAGAUUAGCUUGUUGGUAAGGUAACGGCUUACCAAGGCUACGAUCUGUAUCCGGUCUAAGAGGACGGUCGGACACACUGACACUGAAUAACGGGUCAGACUCCUACGGGAGGCAGCAG